RNAcentral lists this long non-coding RNA (2399 nucleotides) under Ficedula albicollis (Collared flycatcher). RNAcentral describes it as "lncRNA (ENSFALG00000019742.2)". Lineage: Eukaryota; Metazoa; Chordata; Aves; Passeriformes; Muscicapidae. The record is from RNAcentral.
GCCUUAAUGAGGUUUGGGAGGUUUUUGUUGCUUUAAUCGAACUUUUUGUGCUUUUCCAGGCUGGGAGAGCACCCAGAGGUGCUGGUGGCAGAGGGGGUGGCACCGUGUCCCCCCUGCUUGGGUGGGCAGGGAAUAUCCCGGGCUGGGGCGAAGUGGAUCCAUGGGUUUGGGAACGCGGCGAUGGAAGGGCAGAACUUCCCCUGGGAAGGGAGAAUCCUCCCCCCAAACCCAUCCCCGUCCCUCCCCAGCCCCCGGAAACUCCCCCUGGAUCCUUCCCUUCUCCGGGUGAGCGUUCCCGGAGCUGCUCCAGGUGCUGCCGGUGAUGGGAACCCCGCACAAAUCCCUGAUGGGAGCCGGGCAGGGCUGAGCUGGGAUGGGCACAGGGACACUGAGGGCGCACCUGGAAUGCUGCAGGAGGAGAGCGCGGGCUGCGGGAUCGCCGGGAUUUCCUCAGCUGCUUCCACGGCUGGGGUUAAUUAAUGACUCAUUAAAGCCCCUCCCCGAGGCUUUGCCGUCGUCGGGACUCGGGGCGCAGCAUUCCCAGAGGGACCUGGGGAGACCUUGGGGCUCCCGGGGCCUGAAGGAGUUUCAGGUGAGCCGGAGAGGGGUUGGGGACAAGGGAUGGAGGGACAGGACCCUGCCGGAGGGAUGGACGGACGGGAUUUUGGGAAGGAAUUCCCAGAGAAGCUGUGGCUGCCCCUGGAUCCCGGGAAUUUUCAGAGCCGGGUUUGGAGCGGCCCCAUCCCGCUGCUGCUCCGCAAUUCCGAGCUUUGGAUCCUUCUCCGGCUCCGUCCCCUCGCCACAAUCCCCCAAAAAACUCCCCAAAAACCCCUCGGGGCAUUCCCCACCUUUGCGUGCCAUUAACCGCAACCCCGGGCUGGAAUUGCCGAGCCCGGAGCUGCCCCGGCAGCCGCAGGGACCUGUCCCUGCUUUCUGCAGCACUUCCUUAAAUAAUCUGCUUUCCCCAACACUUAACCUCGGGAUCCUCCCCUUGGAACGCGGGCGAGUCUGGCGCGCACUCGCCGGACCACCCUGGGAAGCAAAUCCCGAUAAUUUAUGGAGAGGCUCAGCUGAGAACAGCCCUGAACACCAGCAGAAGCUGGCGACGCCAGGGAGGCUUUCAGAACCUGCCUGGGCGUCGGGAUCAAAGCAGCAGCGAUCCCCUUCCUCACCGGGGGCGCGGGGAACGUCCAGGGGCCCCCAGGAUCCCAGAGCCAGCCCAGGAAUGUCAAGCGGGGCUAAGUGCUCGCCCCAGCGGCACUGCCGGACAAAAGGCGACACUUGGGGACAUUAAAUCGCUCAGGGACAGUCAAGGACUCUUCAAAGCGGCUGCGAAUUGUGUGGCCAAGCUGGGAAACACGAGGCACAGGCUCCUGCUGGCCCGGGCACGCCUCUCAUCGGGGAAAAGGAUGGAGCAGAGAGCAAAAAUAAUCCCCAAAAUCCUAUUUUUGAUUUGGGAAAAUGAAGGGGAGAGCUCGGGGAUUUGGUCUGGGGCUCCAGGGGAGGAUGCCAGGGCUGGAAACGAUGCCAGGAGAAGAUGCCAGGAGGGUGCUGGGGUGUCUGGAGGAGAUGCUGAGGCUGAAGAAGAAGAUGUGGAGUAACCGGGGGCAGAGGUUGUGGUACCCAGGGCAGAUUUGGGGCUGCUGGGGAAGAUGUUGAGGCAGGUACCCGGCGAAGAUCUGGGGAGGAUGCUGAGGUACCCGGGGCAGAUUUGGGGUUGCUGGGGAGGAUGCUGAGGUACCCAGGGAAGAUCUGGGGCUGCUGGGGAAGAAGUUGAGGCACCUAGGGCAGAUCCGGGGGGGGAUGCUGGAGAAGAUUUGGGGUACCCAGGGAAGACCUUGGGGAGAUGUUGAGGUACCCAGGGAAGAUUUGGAGCUGCUGAGGAAGAUGUUGGGGUACCCAGAGAUGAUUUGGGGCUGCUGGGGAGGAUGCUGAGGUACCCAGGGAAGAUUUGGGGCUGCUGGGACCAGUGCCAGGGUUGCUGGGGAAGACGUUGGGGUACCCAGAGAAGAUUUGGGGAAGAUGCUGAGGUACCCGGCGAAGAUCUGGGGAGGAUGCUGAGGUACCCGGGGCAGAUUUGGGGUUGCUGGGGAGGAUGCUGAGGUACCCAGGGAAGAUCUGGGGCUGCUGGGGAAGAAGUUGAGGCACCUAGGGCAGAUCCGGGGGGGAUGCUGGAGAAGAUUUGGGGUACCCAGGGAAGACCUUGGGGGAUGCUGAGGUACCCGGGGUAGAUUUGGGGUUGCUGGGGAAGAUGUUGGGGUACCCAGGGAGGAUCCAGGGGUUUUGCUGAGGUACCCAGGGAGGAUCCGGGGGGGAUGCUGGGGUACCCAGGGAGGAUCCCCCCCCCCCCCCCCCCCCCCCCCCCCCCCCCCCCCCCCCCCCCCCCCCCCCCCCCCCCC